RNAcentral lists this ribosomal RNA (587 nucleotides) under Areotheca ambigua. RNAcentral's name for it is "eukaryotic LSU rRNA". The stretch from base 219 to 372 matches the Rfam family "5.8S ribosomal RNA". Lineage: Eukaryota; Fungi; Ascomycota; Sordariomycetes; Sordariales; Naviculisporaceae. The record is from RNAcentral.
ACAAGGUAUGCAUUGGGGGACCAGCGGAAGGAUCAUUUAAGAGUUGCAAAACUCCCUUAUACCAUCGCGAACGCUACCCCGCAUCGUUGCUUCGGCGGUCAGGCGGCCCCCCACGGGGCCGCCUCUCCGGCCCCCCCCCCCACGGGGCGCCCGCCGGAGGAGCACAACCAAACCAUUACAACUAUUGGCCUCUCUGAGUAUGAUUUUAAAUAAGUCAAAACUUUCAACAACGGAUCUCUUGGUUCUGGCAUCGAUGAAGAACGCAGCGAAAUGCGAUAAGUAAUGUGAAUUGCAAAAUUCAGUGAAUCAUCGAAUCUUUGAACGCACAUUGCGCCCGCCAGUAUUCUGGCGGGCAUGCCUGUUCGAGCGUCAUUUCAACCAUCAAGCCCUGCUUGCGUUGGGGUCCUGCGGCUGCCCGCAGGCCCUAAAAACCAGUGGCGGGCUCGCUAGUCACACCGAGCGCAGUAAUACAUCUCGCUCUGGGCGUGCGGCGGGUUCUUGCCGUUAAACACCCCCUUUUACCCAAGGUUGACCUCGGAUCAGGUAGGAAUACCCGCUGAACUUAAGCAUAUCAAUAAGCGGAGGAA